CCUGAAUUUCGCACUCUCUCUUUAUGUUUCUGUCUGUCUCAUUUGUGUCACUGCUAGACACAGCUUUCGUCUGCAUUGCCCCUCUGCAAAUCUUUCGCCGCUUUCUGCGUCCAUUUGGGUCUUCUGAAAUUUUGGGUCUUCUCUUUCUUCGAGCUUAGACACGGUCUCUUAGGCCUGAAAGCUUACUUUUUGAUACUACCCAGUGGUUGUGCAGAUUGGGAAUUAUUACUCCCACUCAAAUAGUAGUGUUGUUGCAUUUGGAUUAGGAAUACUUCGUUGGUAUCUAUUCUCGAGGAACUAAUGGUUUCCAAAAAUUUCGUAUCUUUUUGGGUGCCCGUUUGAGAAGAUUUCACUGGGUUUCAUCCUGAAAUUAUUGGGGUUACAUGGGUUUCCCUGAUCUUAGCCGACAAUCGGUGUCACUAUUGUCGAUGGAACUCAACUGGGUGGUUGUAUUUGCCAAUCUGAAUGCUGCUGAUUAGGGGAAAAAUAAAAAGAAAGAAAAGAACCCAAAUAGUUCGAGUCUUUUAAAGUCCCUUACUAUACUUUGCAAGUAAGAGUAGGGUGGCUGACGUCAGGUUUCUUUUAUGUCUUCCAACCUCAUUUGGAUUCCAAAGGUUUCCCAGUUAAUAUACCAGAGUAUGUUGGAAGCAACAUUGGGGGGUCUGAGUGCCUUAAUUUUGAUUUAAGGCCUUUCUGAGUUUUGGUACUUUGGUUCCGCGGAUCGAUUGAUUCAUCAUCAUCGUCGUCGUCAUGCCUUUGUACGAGUUAUACCGUCUGGCUAGAGAGAAGCUUGGUACAGAGAAUAACAGCACACGUGCAUCUGAUCAAUGUUCCUCACCUGAGAAUGAUUUUUUUGAGCUAGUUUGGGAGAAUGGUCAGAUUUCUAGCCAGGGUCAGUCUAGUAAAGUUAGAAGGAGCCCAUCUUGCAGGAGUUUGCCAUCUCACUGCUUACCAUCUCACAGUCCCAAGGGUAGAGACAAAGAUGUAGGAUAUGGUGCCAACAGGAUGGGAAAAUUUAGAGAUUUAGACUCUGGUUUGAAUGAAAUUUCAAUGUCGGUGCCGUCCCGUGAAGUUGAUUUCUGUCAAGAUGAAGAUGUGUUACCUUGGUUUGAUGAUUACACAACAAUGGAUGGUUCAUUGCAACAUGACUAUGGUUCUGAUUUCCUUCCUGCCCCAACUAGCUUUACCCUAUUGGAUAAAAAAAGUAAUAGCAAUAUGGCUUUGAGGGAUUCUCAUAAAACUUCUGAAGAACAAGGGAAUGUUUUCAAGGAUUCUUCAGCUGAGCAAAUUGGAACUGCCGAACCCAAAGCUAGCACCAGUCAGUUAUACCCUCCGUCAUUGCAUCAUUGUCAAACAUCUUUUGUAUCUUCAAGAUCCAGAACAUCAGAUGUAACUGAAAAUAACAAUACUAGUAAUGGAAACCAGGAUGCCACUUAUGGCGAAAUUACCAAUUUUCUAUCUUCCUCAAGUGAUUUUUCUAGCCCAAAGGGGAAGAAGCAAGAGCCACCUCUGCCUGGCAAUGGUUCCAGUUCCACCGUAAUGAAUUUCUCCCAUUUCGCUAGGCCUGCCGCAAUGGUAAGAGCUAAUCUUCAGAACAUUGGCUUGAAGUCUGGUUUGUCUUCAGCAAGAUCAGACAGUAUGGAAAUUAAGAAUAAAGAUGCAGCGGCAACUAGCAGCAAUCCUCCUGAAUCAAUUGUUGUUGAUUCAAGUGGUGAAUGUCCAAAGGAACUGACCAUGCGCUCUCAGCAGGUUGUGGAUCAAUCCAAGACUGAUUUGAACACUUCACUGUCCAAAGCUGUUGAACAGAAGUCAGUGCUUUCUAAGCAGUCAGAGACUGCUUGUAAUGAGAGUUCCACUAAGAUUGACCAAAUUGCAGAUCAAGUUCUUGGUGACAGUGGUGCUAAAGGGCAGACAACUGCUGAAAAAAGUAUGGAGGCAGCAGUAGCCUCUUCCUCUGUUUGCUCUGGCAAUGGUGCUGACAGAGGUUCAGAUGAGCCAAAUAAAAAUUUGAAGCGAAAAAGAAAAGACACCGAUGAUUCUGAGUGCCAUAGUGAAACAUUUUACAUGAAGGAUGCUGAAGAAGAAUCAGGGGGUGUUAAAAAGGCAGCUGGAGGGCGUGGAGGUACAGGUUCCAAGAGAACCCGUGCAGCUGAAGUGCAUAAUCUAUCCGAAAGGAGGCGAAGGGACAGAAUCAACGAGAAGAUGCGUGCGUUGCAAGAACUCAUUCCAAAUUGCAAUAAGGUGGAUAAAGCCUCAAUGCUAGACGAGGCAAUUGAGUAUCUUAAAACACUUCAGCUCCAAGUUCAAAUUAUGUCAAUGGGAGCUGGUUUAUAUAUGCCUCCAAUGAUGUUACCUGCAGGAAUGCAGCACAUGCAUGCACCACAUCUGGCUCCAUUUUCACCUAUGAGUGUUGGCAUGCAUAUGGGAUAUGGUAUGGGUUAUGGGGUGGGAAUGCCUGACAUGAAUGGUGGACCUUCAAGAUUCCCUAUGAUUCAGGUGCCCCAAAUGCAAGGAAGUCAUAUCCCUGUGGCCCAUAUGUCUGGACCUACUGCUUUACAUGGGAUGGCCGGAUCAAAUCUUUCAGGGCUCGGGCUUCCUGGACAAGGACAUCCCAUGCCAAUGCCGCGGCCUACCGUGCUACCUUUUUCAGGAGGACCUGUCAUGAAUUCAUCAGCUCUGGGACUACAUGCCUGUGGAUCAUCAGGACUUGUUGGAACCGUGGAUUCAGCUUCUGCAUCUGGCUUAAAGGAUCAAAUGUCAAAUGGUGUCCCACUAGUUAAGCAAAGCUCUGGUGGCCGUGACUCAACAAGUCAGAGGCCUACACAGAGUGAAAGCAUCUGUUGUUGGAUUUGAGCAAUCUGCUUUGGUUCAUAAUAGCGGUCAUACCUCUGAGGCUAAUGACAAUGGAGCUCUUAAUCCUUGUCCCAGCAGAUAACGUUAUGUCUGGUUAUGAUCCAUAAUAAUACCGUGCCUGAUUGAAGUUUUAGAAAAUGUGAGUCUUAAUCUUCCCGCAGAUUACCAUACAGGAUACUUCAGAGUCAUUGAGGUUAACCCCAUUACAAUAACUACUGACUGAAUCCUAAUUUCCGGACUUACGAAAUUGCACGGAUUUUGUAAUAUCUUAAGAGGUGCAACUCAUUUGUACAUCCAUUUAGCAACCUGUUCAAUCAAUUGGCGUAGAAAUUUGAUAUAUUAUUACAAAUAUGUAUUCAAGUGUUUGAUCAUAUCUAUCAUAGCGAUUCUUUGGUUUAAUGAAAUAAUAGAUUUUUUUUCUUUGCCUUUGGCA
Unclassified non-coding RNA from Vigna unguiculata (cowpea), 3286 nucleotides. NCBI's taxonomy places the organism in Eukaryota, Viridiplantae, Streptophyta, Magnoliopsida, Fabales, Fabaceae. The record is from RefSeq and is a predicted model, not a curated record.